Molecule: long non-coding RNA, 458 nt
Filed under: Nicotiana tabacum (common tobacco)
Lineage: Eukaryota; Viridiplantae; Streptophyta; Magnoliopsida; Solanales; Solanaceae
Description: long non-coding RNA (NTAB_LNC004427)
Source: RNAcentral
GCAAGAGCGCGAUGGUUCAAAUGAAUAUGCUAAUUAUCAGCCCGGCUCACUUAUGACAACAGACACCCUUAUUAAGGACCUUGAUAACAUUGAUAUAGUUUUCCUUAUUGGAGAUCUCCCCUAUGCAAAUGGCUAUAUCUCACAAUGGGACCAAUUUACAGCCCAGGUGGAACCAAUAACGUCGAAAGUACCUUUCAUGAUUGCAAGGUGUGUUCAUCGUCAAGAAUUCCUUUGUGAAUGCAGAUGGUCUGCUUUUAAUUAUUUGAUAUUGUAUUUCAUAUAGUUCUUGUUAUUCUAAGUGUCUACGACGAAAAUUUGUUUUGCAGUGGUAAUCAUGAAAGAACUUGGGAGAACAGCGGAUCAUUAUACACUGGUCUGGACUCAGGUGGAGAAUGUGGUGUACCAGCCGAAACAUUAUACUACGUUCCAGCAGAAAACAGAGCUAAGUUCUGGUAUGC